CUUUGAUCUCAUGGCUCUGUCUUUUACUCAAGUCUAGUUUUGUGCCACUGCAAAGCCAUGGUUUAGCCCGUGAGCACAGCUGGGACCUGUGAUUUGAGGGUGGUUCGGGGAAGGAUCCCAUGUAAAAUAAAUGAGGAUCGGUUAGAAGAAUCCUUCGCUCUGUUUUGAGCCGCUUGGAAAAGCCAUCUGGCAACUAAGGGUUAAAUAUACCGAGUUGAGAUUGCUAGAAGGGAAGAAGGAAAACCCUGGCAAGCAGGAAACGGAACUGUCUCCAUAGGAAGUGCUCCCACUCUCCCCCACCCAAAAAAGGUCCCUUCCGGUCUGUCCUUUUUCUUCCUCCGGGAGGAAAGCGUGACUUGGCCUUCUAGAAAGGUUCUUUGGGGAUCUGUUGGAGCCUCUUCCUGCCUCUCCCCCUCCCAAUUGCGACUGGGUUGGUGAGAAAUCUCUCUGUGGAAGCUCAGUCAGAGAUCCAGGUAGCAGAGCAGCCUCACUUCCAGACCAAACAGAGUGCCCAGCAAGAAGAGAGCCAUCAGAGCAAUAGGGAGGUGUCCGCCUUGAUCGGGACUGGGAGGAUGCCAGGAACAAGUAUUCUUUCAUUUCUUCCUUGUGAUGGAGCAGAACCAGAUUGGGUAUGUACAAGAUGUUUAAAAGACUUCUUGUGUAAUUAGAACUUCUGUAUAUUCCACCACUUUAGUUCUUAAUACUGCUUUCCAUUCCUUUUUCAUGUAAUGUUCCACAUGUUCAAUGCUUUGGGGCCAGUUAGUUUCACUGGAAUUCUUUUCCCUCCCCCUGAGUUCAGGUUCUGGAAGACAGGAAGGAGGAG
RNAcentral lists this long non-coding RNA (823 nucleotides) under Pogona vitticeps (central bearded dragon). RNAcentral's name for it is "lncRNA (ENSPVIG00000005880.1)". Lineage: Eukaryota; Metazoa; Chordata; Lepidosauria; Squamata; Agamidae. The record is from RNAcentral.